Long non-coding RNA from Ailuropoda melanoleuca (giant panda), 530 nucleotides. RefSeq lists it as uncharacterized. The record is from RefSeq and is a predicted model, not a curated record. NCBI's taxonomy places the organism in Eukaryota, Metazoa, Chordata, Mammalia, Carnivora, Ursidae. The transcript is spliced from 3 exons.
UGGCUGUGACACAGACUGCGGGCUGUCCCUCCUAAAUCCUACGCUUCCUCAGUAAUAGAACCCCCAGUUUUUAGAUAAGCACACGGCUGCUUAAAAUGAAGACUACGUUUCCCCGGCUCUCUUGUCACCUGUGAUGACCAUCUACAUUCAAAUUCUUCAUUUACUGUGAUCACAAUUUUUGGCACAUAUAUCUUUACGUGCAUCUAAGGAAAGUUACAACAAAUUUGAUUCUGUCUUUAUUGCAAAAAGAAAUUUUCACAAGAUGUAUUUAAUGACCACAUUAUGUAAGGGAUAAAAACUGAGUGACAAGACAACCAAAACAGCUUUUGUAUUCCUUAUGCAAAGCCUACUUCAUGCAUCAAAUAAUGCCCAGAACAAUGUCUAAACAUGUACGGAAAGAAAAAUAGCACCCACCUCCUCAAUAAUUAUGGAGCUUCGUAGCCCUGUGAUGAUGUACAUUUAGGAUUAUUCUGGUAGCUACUAAAUCAAAACAAGACAGCGGAGAUCAAUCAGGAUCUUAGGAACCAGAG